UUGAGUUUGAUCAUGGCUCAGGACGAACGCUGGCGGCGUGCCUAAUACAUGCAAGUCGAGCGAAUCAUUAGGAGCUUGCUCCUGAUGGUUAGCGGCGGACGGGUGAGUAACACGUGGGCAACCUGCCUGUAAGACUGGGAUAACACCGGGAAACCGGUGCUAAUACCGGAUAAUUCUUCACUUCUCAUGAAGUGAAGCUGAAAGUCGGUUUCGGCUGACACUUACAGAUGGGCCCGCGGCGCAUUAGCUAGUUGGUGAGGUAACGGCUCACCAAGGCGACGAUGCGUAGCCGACCUGAGAGGGUGAUCGGCCACACUGGGACUGAGACACGGCCCAGACUCCUACGGGAGGCAGCAGUAGGGAAUCUUCCGCAAUGGACGAAAGUCUGACGGAGCAACGCCGCGUGAGUGAUGAAGGCCUUCGGGUCGUAAAACUCUGUUGUUAGGGAAGAACAAGUAUCGGAGUAACUGCCGGUACCUUGACGGUACCUAACCAGAAAGCCACGGCUAACUACGUGCCAGCAGCCGCGGUAAUACGUAGGUGGCAAGCGUUGUCCGGAAUUAUUGGGCGUAAAGCGCGCGCAGGCGGUCCUUUAAGUCUGAUGUGAAAGCCCACGGCUCAACCGUGGAGGGUCAUUGGAAACUGGGGGACUUGAGUGCAGAAGAGGAAAGCGGAAUUCCACGUGUAGCGGUGAAAUGCGUAGAGAUGUGGAGGAACACCAGUGGCGAA
Molecule: ribosomal RNA, 729 nt
Filed under: uncultured bacterium
Lineage: Bacteria
Description: bacterial SSU rRNA
Rfam family: Bacterial small subunit ribosomal RNA
Source: RNAcentral